This 417-nucleotide unclassified non-coding RNA is filed under the name Athalia rosae (coleseed sawfly). RNAcentral's name for it is "misc RNA ENSAEAG00005013006.1". Lineage: Eukaryota; Metazoa; Arthropoda; Insecta; Hymenoptera; Athaliidae. The record is from RNAcentral.
AUUUUGCAGUGGUCCGCGAUGUCCUGGAUGUGCCCGUGUUCUGUCAACCUCGUGCGUCCUGUCGUCACAGGUGAUGAUAACUUACCACCCCCAGUCGAUAUCGCGGGUGGCGCACUCUCGAAGUUAGUUCGCGAAAAAAUAUCGACGAUUCGGGGAGGCAUUGGGGAGGACAGGGGUAGAUGCACGAUAAAUUACCCGUGUCACAUUCAUUGUCGGUGACUAAUUUUCAGCGAACAAACAUGACGCCGUUAUUUGUAAUCGGAUCAAGUGAGACGACGACCCCACGCAGGAUAAAGAUAACGUGUUCGCCAUUCAAAGCAGCAGCGAAUCACUGGACAGUCGUCGAGUCUUCUCGGCCUUCCGGAAGGCACUGGCGGCGUAAUCGAGUCCAUCGGGGCUGAAGAGAUUUGAGAGUUA